Molecule: ribosomal RNA, 380 nt
Filed under: uncultured bacterium
Lineage: Bacteria
Also listed under: 1 other name
Description: bacterial SSU rRNA
Rfam family: Archaeal small subunit ribosomal RNA
Source: RNAcentral
ACACCAGCCCCUCGAGUGGUGGGGAUGAUUAUUUGGUCUAAAGCGUCCGUAGCCGGCUGAGUAAGUUUCCCGUUAAAUCCAGCGUCUCAAGCGUUGGACUGCGGGAAAUACUGCUCGGCUAGAGAGUGGGAGACGUCAACGGUAUUCUGGGGGUAGGGGCGAAAUCCUUUGAUCCCCGGAGGACCACCAGUGGCGAAGGCUGUUGACAAGAACACGUCUGACGGUCAGGGACGAAAGCUGGGGUAGCGAACCGGAUUAGAUACCCGGGUAGUCCCAGCCGUAAACGAUGCAUGCUAGGUGUUAGGUUGGCCACGUGCCACCCUAGUGCCGCAGGGAAGCCGUUAAGCAUGCCACCUGGGGAGUACGGCCGCAAGGCUGAA